AUGGAGAUGAUGAUUAUUUCCCCAGAUGAUCGACACUGAAAUAACUGAGCUAAUUUAAUUCUCAUUUAUGAGAAUUCAAGCCAGAUUUCUGAUCCGU
This 97-nucleotide small nucleolar RNA is filed under the name Spinacia oleracea (spinach). Its description in RNAcentral is "Small nucleolar RNA Z103". It matches the Rfam family "Small nucleolar RNA Z103". From Rfam's summary of the family: This family consists of several snoRNA Z103 sequences which are members of the C/D class of snoRNA which contain the C (UGAUGA) and D (CUGA) box motifs. The record is from Rfam by way of RNAcentral. Lineage: Eukaryota; Viridiplantae; Streptophyta; Magnoliopsida; Caryophyllales; Amaranthaceae.